GCCUCUGUAGCACAAUGGAUAGUGUUUUGGACUUCGAAUACAAAGGUCGUGUUCGAAUCCAACCUGGGAUG
Trichonephila inaurata madagascariensis is the source of this 71-nucleotide non-coding RNA. NCBI's taxonomy places the organism in Eukaryota, Metazoa, Arthropoda, Arachnida, Araneae, Nephilidae. The record is from the annotation of a GenBank genome assembly.